GAGUUUGAUCCUGGCUCAGAACGAACGCUGGCGGCAGGCCUAAGCACAUGCAAGUCGAACGAAGUCUUCGGACUUAGUGGCAGACGGGUGAGUAACGCGUGGGAACCUACCUGGAGGUUCGGAAUAACUCGGGGAAACUCGGGCUAAUACCGGAUACGCCCUUACGGGGAAAGAUUUAUCGCCUUUAGAUGGGCCCGCGUUGGAUUAGCUUGUUGGUGAGGUAAAAGCUCACCAAGGCGACGAUCCAUAGCUGGUCUGAGAGGAUGAUCAGCCACACUGGGACUGAGACACGGCCCAGACUCCUACGGGAGGCAGCAGUGAGGAAUAUUCGGCAAUGGGCGCAAGCCUGACCGAGCCAUGCCGCGUGAGUGAAGAAGGCCCUAGGGUUGUAAAGCUCUUUCACCGAUGAAGAUAAUGACGGUAGUCGGAGAAGAAGCCCCGGCUAACUUCGUGCCAGCAGCCGCGGUAAUACGAAGGGGGCUAGCGUUGUUCGGAAAUUACUGGGCGUAAAGCGCACGUAGGCGGAUUGUUUAGUCAGGGGUGAAAUCCCGGGGGCUCAACCCCGGAACUGCUCUGAUACUGGCAAUCUCGAGUUCGAGAGAGGUGAGUGGAAUCCGAGUGUAGAGGUGAACUUCGUAGAUAUUCGGAGGACCACAGUGGGCGAAGGGGGUCCACUGGGGUCGACACUGAACGCCUGAGGUGCGAAAAGCGUGGGGGAGCAAACCAGGAUUAGAUUAACCUGGAAGUC
Molecule: ribosomal RNA, 748 nt
Filed under: uncultured bacterium
Lineage: Bacteria
Description: bacterial SSU rRNA
Rfam family: Bacterial small subunit ribosomal RNA
Source: RNAcentral